Molecule: transfer RNA, 81 nt
Filed under: Babesia caballi
Lineage: Eukaryota; Apicomplexa; Aconoidasida; Piroplasmida; Babesiidae
Description: tRNA-Met
Rfam family: tRNA
About the family: Transfer RNA (tRNA) molecules are approximately 80 nucleotides in length.
Source: RNAcentral
GUAUCUGUCGCUUAGUGGUCAAUAGCGAUGAGCUCAUGACUCAUUAAAUACAUGUCAGUAGUUCGAAUCUACUUAGAUACA